GGCUCCAUAGUUUAGUCGGCAAAACACUUGACUUGUAAUCAUGAAUCAUCGGUUCGAUUCCGAUUGGAGCCUCCA
Molecule: transfer RNA, 75 nt
Filed under: Bacteroidota bacterium
Lineage: Bacteria; Pseudomonadati; Bacteroidota
Description: Bacteroidetes bacterium (marine metagenome) tRNA-Thr
Rfam family: tRNA
About the family: Transfer RNA (tRNA) molecules are approximately 80 nucleotides in length. Their secondary structure includes four short double-helical elements and three loops (D, anti-codon, and T loops).
Source: RNAcentral